Antechinus flavipes (yellow-footed antechinus) is the source of this 103-nucleotide small nuclear RNA. Lineage: Eukaryota; Metazoa; Chordata; Mammalia; Dasyuromorphia; Dasyuridae. The record is from RefSeq and is a predicted model, not a curated record.
CUACUUCAGCAGCACAUAUACUAAAAUUAGAAUGAUACAGAGAAGAUUAGCAUGGCCCUCACACAAAGUUGUCAUGAAAAUUCGUGAAGCAUUCCAGAUUUUU